AACAGGCAAAGACGAUUCGGUGCCUCUGCCUGCCGGAGGAGAAUAGGGAACCGUGUGAAAAUCGCGGGCAGCGCCCACUACUGUAACCUGUGUCCGCAGCCGCACAGUGCCACUGCCGUUCCGGCGGGAAGGCGCGGCCGCGCAGUGCAGAAAGCCAGGAGACCUGCCGGAUCGUUUGCUCUCAU
RNAcentral lists this non-coding RNA (185 nucleotides) under Ethanoligenens harbinense. RNAcentral also lists the same sequence under 1 other name. Lineage: Bacteria; Bacillati; Bacillota; Clostridia; Eubacteriales; Oscillospiraceae. The record is from RNAcentral.